UAUACUGCAGUCGAGCGAGCAUAACCAGCAGAUUUACUUCGGUAAUGACGCUGGGGACGCGAGCGGCGGAUGGGUGAGUAACACGUGGGGAACCUGCCCCAUAGCCUGGGAUACCACUUGGAAACAGGUGCUAAUACCGGAUAAGAAAGCAAAUCGCAUGAUCAGCUUAUAAAAGGCGGCGUAAGCUGUCGCUAUGGGAUGGCCCAGGCGGUGCAUUAGCUAGUUGGUAAGGUAACGGCUUACCAAGGCAAUGAUGCAUAGCCGAGUUGAGAGACUGAUCGGCCACAUUGGGACUGAGACACGGCCCAAACUCCUACGGGAGGCAGCAGUAGGGAAUCUUCCACAAUGGACGCAAGUCUGAUGGAGCAACGCCGCGUGAGUGAAGAAGGUUUUCGGAUCGUAAAGCUCUGUUGUUGGUGAAGAAGGAUAGAGGUAGUAACUGGCCUUUAUUUGACGGUAAUCAACCAGAAAGUCACGGCUAACUACGUGCCAGCAGCCGCGGUAAUACGUAGGUGGCAAGCGUUGUCCGGAUUUAUGGGCGUAAAAGCGAGCGCAGGCGGAAAAUAAUCUGAUGUGAAGCCCUCGGCUUAACCGAGGAACUGCUCGGAACUGUUUUUUCUUGAAUGCAAAAGGAGAGU
This 638-nucleotide ribosomal RNA is filed under the name Lactobacillus helveticus. RNAcentral's name for it is "bacterial SSU rRNA". It matches the Rfam family "Bacterial small subunit ribosomal RNA", at positions 50 to 660 of the family's 1533-position model. Lineage: Bacteria; Bacillati; Bacillota; Bacilli; Lactobacillales; Lactobacillaceae. The record is from RNAcentral.